AACAAUUGAUUUAUUCAGAGAGAGAGAGAGAGAGAGAGAGAGAGAGAGAGAGAGAGAGAGAGAUUAGAGACAUAUGUAUGAACGUAGUACAGAUGACUAAUAUGAAAAGGUAUGACAACAUCAGAAGGUCAAUGUCGCUCAUCGAUAUAUAAAUAUUCCUGCUUUUAAUACGAUAUAAUAUUCGAAAACAAAACAAAUGUAUUAUUAAAGCGACAAGGACAUGAAGAAAUGAGACGUAUAUUCCAUUUCAGUUCUCGUGUGACCGUCCGCCGGAGAAGAUAAGCACCCAUUGCUGCCGUAAGCUUAAACACCGACAGACUCGCGCGUAAACUCGCGUAAAAGGAAAGGAAGUAAAACAGAGACAGAAGAAACAGAAAGAAGAGAGGAAAAAAAAAGGAACAAUUAUCUAAUAAUAAAACGUAAGAGUUACCUGUAUCAAUUAAUCUUACGAUUAAUUUUAGGUUUCUUUAGAAUAAUAGCGCAAAUAUUACUCAAUUCUUUGUUUCAUUAAAUACAUUUGGUAGAAAACGUUGGCCGCAUUAGAUACACGCUUUUUUUUUUUUUUUUUACCUUUUUCUUUUCUUUUUUUUGCAUGUUUGUAUUUUUUUUUCUUUUUUUUUUUU
Vespa crabro (European hornet) is the source of this 623-nucleotide long non-coding RNA. RefSeq lists it as uncharacterized. The record is from RefSeq and is a predicted model, not a curated record. Lineage: Eukaryota; Metazoa; Arthropoda; Insecta; Hymenoptera; Vespidae. The transcript is spliced from 2 exons.